RNAcentral lists this ribosomal RNA (421 nucleotides) under uncultured bacterium. RNAcentral describes it as "bacterial SSU rRNA". It matches the Rfam family "Bacterial small subunit ribosomal RNA", at positions 355 to 774 of the family's 1533-position model. The record is from RNAcentral.
UAAGGAAUAUUGGUCAAUGGACGCAAGUCUGAACCAGCCAUGCCGCGUGAAGGAUGAAGGUCCUCUGGAUUGUAAACUUCUUUUAUCUGGGACGAAAACGGGAUUUUUAUCUCAAUUGACGGUACCAGAGGAAUAAGCACCGGCCAACUCCGCGCCAGCAGCCGCGGUAAUACGGAGGGUGCGAGCGUUAUCCGGAUUUAGUGGGUUUAAAGGGUGCGUAGGUGGGCUUAUAAGUCAGUGGUGAAAUCACCGAGCUUAACUUGGAAACUGCCUUUGAUACUAUAGGUCUUGAAUUAUCUGGAGGUAAGCGGAAUAUGUCAUGUAGCGGUGAAAUGCUUAGAUAUGACAUAGAACACCAAUUGCGAAGGCAGCUUACUACAUAUAAAUUGACGCUGAGGCACGAAAGCGUGGGGAUCAAACA